This 545-nucleotide long non-coding RNA is filed under the name Gallus gallus (chicken). RNAcentral describes it as "lncRNA (ENSGALG00010028980.1)". Lineage: Eukaryota; Metazoa; Chordata; Aves; Galliformes; Phasianidae. The record is from RNAcentral.
CUGCUCACAUUGCUGUCAUGCUCACCUACAGUGACACUGCGCUGCAUGCCCCAGGAAGCAUCUUCUGGGCUGUGUGGAUGCAGACGUCUUGGGCAAGAUGCUGCUGUUUUCUAGAGCCAGCCAACAGGACUCUCAGCUAAAGCUUGCCUUGGUGCAGAGUAUCACUGAGGUCAGCUGCGCCAUCCAGGCUGUGGGUGAUUGCCCCAGCUUUGGACUCUUCUCAAAGCAGGAGGCCCUGAGGACACUGCUGGUGAGUAGCCAAGAGCCAGGGCCAUUCCACAGAGGAGUUUUGAGGGGUACCAUAAGGCUUGUUUCCACCAAGGCUUACUGGUCUCCCCUAGGUUCAUGGGAGCUCCUGGAGCCAAGUCUCCACCUAGCAAGGCCCUUGUGUGCUGCUGCUCAGUGCCUGUGGCUGUGGAGUAGGGUCCAUCCGGCCCCCAGGCAGGUGCUGCCAUGCCCUCAUGUGCCCUUCUGGAAGCCACAGAGGUGAUAUGACCAAUGUGUGUACAGAUUUGGUAGAAGAAUGGGUCCCAGGGGAUGCAGGG